ACGGACGUAGCUCAACGCCGAAGAGCAGCGACCUCCGAAACCGCCGGUUGUGGGUUGGAGUCCCGCCGUCCGUG
RNAcentral lists this transfer RNA (74 nucleotides) under Nocardia colli. RNAcentral's name for it is "Nocardia sp. CICC 11023 tRNA-OTHER". It matches the Rfam family "tRNA". Rfam says of the family: Transfer RNA (tRNA) molecules are approximately 80 nucleotides in length. Their secondary structure includes four short double-helical elements and three loops (D, anti-codon, and T loops). Lineage: Bacteria; Bacillati; Actinomycetota; Actinomycetes; Mycobacteriales; Nocardiaceae. The record is from RNAcentral.